GACGAACGCUGGCGGCGUGCUUAACACAUGCAAGUCGAACGGAAAGGCCCUGCUUUUGUGGGGUGCUCGAGUGGCGAACGGGUGAGUAACACGUGAGUAACCUGCCCUUGACUUUGGGAUAACUUCAGGAAACUGGGGCUAAUACCGGAUAGGAGCUCCUGCCGCAUGGUGGGGGUUGGAAAGUUUCGGCGGUUGGGGAUGGACUCGCGGCUUAUCAGCUUGUUGGUGGGGUAGUGGCUUACCAAGGCUUUGACGGGUAGCCGGCCUGAGAGGGUGACCGGCCACAUUGGGACUGCGAGACGGCGCAGACUGCUACGGGAGGCAACGGUGGGAAAUAUUACACAGUGGGCGGGAGCCUGAUACGACGGCGCCGCGUGCGGGAUGACCGCCUUCGGGUUAUGAACCGCUUUCGCCUGUGACGAAGCGUGAGUGACGGUAAUGGGUAAAGAAGCACCGGCUAACUACGUG
RNAcentral lists this ribosomal RNA (468 nucleotides) under uncultured bacterium. RNAcentral describes it as "partial 16S ribosomal RNA". It matches the Rfam family "Bacterial small subunit ribosomal RNA", at positions 28 to 507 of the family's 1533-position model. The record is from RNAcentral.